This 348-nucleotide long non-coding RNA is filed under the name Homo sapiens (human). RNAcentral's name for it is "HSALNT0120890". Lineage: Eukaryota; Metazoa; Chordata; Mammalia; Primates; Hominidae. The record is from RNAcentral.
CAUAGCUACCAAAGCCAGUGUAAAAAGGAGAAGAGUAGGACAUAAAUUUUAACUAUGAAAGACGUGAAUGCCAAUAUUCUCUUUACUCAAAGACCCAGGAAGUAAAGUGGGUUAGAGGCAGCAUGAUGUAGUAAAAAGUAUAUUGGCUCUGAAGUCAGGCAGAAUAUAGUCCUGGCUGCCACUUAGCAGCUCUGUGAUUCCCUUUCCUUGGCUGUAAAUUGGGGUAAUAAAUGGUUGUAGGAUUAGAGUUAAUGGAAUGUACUAAGCAUAUUAACAUUGUAAGUACUCAACAAAUGGUAACUGAUAGUUUUUAUGUGGAGUGAAACAAGAAUAAAGAAAGAACUGUUU